Molecule: ribosomal RNA, 676 nt
Filed under: Salmonella enterica subsp. enterica serovar Senftenberg
Lineage: Bacteria; Pseudomonadati; Pseudomonadota; Gammaproteobacteria; Enterobacterales; Enterobacteriaceae
Description: bacterial SSU rRNA
Rfam family: Bacterial small subunit ribosomal RNA
Source: RNAcentral
CCGCCUGGGGAGUACGGCCGCAAGGUUAAAACUCAAAUGAAUUGACGGGGGCCCGCACAAGCGGUGGAGCAUGUGGUUUAAUUCGAUGCAACGCGAAGAACCUUACCUGGUCUUGACAUCCACGGAAGAAUCCAGAGAUGGAUUUGUGCCUUCGGGAACCGUGAGACAGGUGCUGCAUGGCUGUCGUCAGCUCGUGUUGUGAAAUGUUGGGUUAAGUCCCGCAACGAGCGCAACCCUUAUCCUUUGUUGCCAGCGGUUAGGUCGGGAACUCAAAGGAGACUGCCAGUGAUAAACUGGAGGAAGGUGGGGAUGACGUCAAGUCAUCAUGGCCCUUACGACCAGGGCUACACACGUGCUACAAUGGCGCAUACAAAGAGAAGCGACCUCGCGAGAGCAAGCGGACCUCAUAAAGUGCGUCGUAGUCCGGAUUGGAGUCUGCAACUCGACUCCAUGAAGUCGGAAUCGCUAGUAAUCGUGGAUCAGAAUGCCACGGUGAAUACGUUCCCGGGCCUUGUACACACCGCCCGUCACACCAUGGGAGUGGGUUGCAAAAGAAGUAGGUAGCUUAACCUUCGGGAGGGCGCUUACCACUUUGUGAUUCAUGACUGGGGUGAAGUCGUAACAAGGUAACCGUAGGGGAACCUGCGGUUGGAUCACCUCCUUACCUGAAAGAAGC